CCCGAAAUAGUUUUAGGACUAGCCUCUCUGAUUAGUAUUUUGGAGGUAGAGCACUGAAAGGGUUGCUGCGGCUUCGGCUAGGCAUCUCUAUCAAACUCCGAAUGCCAAAAUAUAUACAGAGGGAGUCAGACAGUGGGAGCGAAGUUCCAUUGUCGCGAGGGAAACAGCCCAGAUCGUCAUCUAAGGUCCCUAAAUCUAAACUAAGUGUUAGUAAGGAGGUGAAAUUUCUCAGAUAGCUAGGAGGUUAGCUUAGAAGCAGCUAUCCUUUAAAAAGUGCGUAACAGCUUACUAGUUAAGAGAUUUUGCGCCGAAGAUUUCCGGGACUCAAGUUUAGUACCGAAGAUACGACUUGGUAUUUUUAAUACCAGGGGUAGGGAAGCGUUCUUAUUGCACUGAAGCUAAACCGUGAGGUUUGGUGGAGCGAUGAGAAGUGAGAAUGUUGGCAUAAGUAACCACAAUUGAAGUGAGAUUCUUCAACACCGUAAAUCCAAGGUUUCCUUGGCAAUGUAGAUCAACCAAGGGUUAGGCGGGCCUUAGGAAAAGCCGAAAGGUUUAUCUGAUGGACAGCCGGUUAAUAUUCCGGCCCUCUAACAUUUUUCUGAAGGGUGACGCGAUUUAGUAACUUGAGCGGAUUAUUGGAUUUCCGUCGACUAUUUAAGGGGCAACCCAAGAAUAGGAGCGUAGCUUAUCCUCGGAUAAGUUAAGUCAAGUGAGCAAGUCGACAAGAAAAGCCCGCAAGGUUAAAAAUGUUAGAUCCGUACUAAAACCGACACAGGUGGAUGGGCACAAGUGUGCCAAGGUGAACAAGUGAAAGAUCCUGAAGGAACUCGGCAAAAAAGUGAUCGUAACUUAGGAAUAAGAUCCGCCUUUCUUUGCAAAAAGAAAGGCCACAGCAAGCGUUUCUCUAGCGACUGUUUAUCAAAAACACAGGUCCCUGCUAAUUCGUAAGAGGAAGUAUAGGGGCUGAGGCCUGACCAGUGCUGGAGUGUUAAAAGUGGCGGUUGCCUCGCUCUUGUUUCAUAAAACGAUCCUGAGUUCUUGUAAGUAGUUUGAUUAGUUAAGAUAAUAAUAAUUUAAUGUGUCUUUUUAAAAUAGGUAAGAUAUAUUGCAAUAUUAAGGAACUCAGAGAUUGCGUUUGUGAAUCGAGAGCGGGGCAGCUGACUGCUCCAAGCCUCCGGUGAACGUCCGCGGUAACUCUGACCGUGUUAAAGUAGCGUAAUCCCUUGUCGGGUAAGUUCCGACCCGCAUGAAAGGCUUAACGACUGGAGAACUGUCUCCAGGAUCUGCUUGGUGAAAUCGCAAUAGAGGUGAGAAUGCCUCUUACCUGUGGCUAGACAAGAAGACCCCAGGAGCUUUACUAUAUCCUGGCAUUGAAUUUUGGUAAUAAUUGCGUAGCGUAGGAGGGAGACUUUGAAGCUAUCUUUUCGGGGAUAGUGGAGUCGCCAAUGAAACACCUCUCUUUUAAUAUCAGGGUUCUAACUUUACUAUCUGAGAAGGGUAGUAGAAGACAGUGCUUGGUUGGUAGUUUAAGUGGGGCGCUUUUCUCCUAAAAAGUAACGGAGAAGUUUAAAGGUUGGCUAGAUCCGGAUGGAAAUCGGAUUGGUCCUGUAAAGGGAUAAGCCAGCUUGACUGCAAGACGGGUAUGUCGCGCAGAUGCGAAAGCAGAACUUAGUGAACCGACCAUGGUUCGUAGGACCGUGGGAGAUCAUCAGACAAAAGUUACCCUGGGGAUAACAGGCUGGUAGUGCCCAAGAGUCCAUAUCAACGGCACUGUUCGGCACCUUAACAUAUCGGGGUGCAUUAACAGCAAUGUUAUUUAAGAAAUUGGCUUAUAACGGUGGACUCCAUAGUGAAAAUCAGCUAUAACAUAAUCAUUAUGGACAAUACCGUGGGAAGUCUAACACAAUUACAAAGAUCAUUGAUUAUCGGUUCGGUUUUAGGUGACGGGGAUAUUAGAAUUAUACCUGGUCACAAAGAUGCUUUUUUAGAAAUAAAACAUUUCCUAAAAGCAAAAGAUUAUGUAGAUUGGAAAUAUUCUGUACUAAAGAAUAUUUGCAAUUCCGAACCUAAGGAAAGAGAAACCAAUAAAGGUAGAAUGGCUUAUUGUUUUUUUACUAAACAAGAUAAAGAAAUUACAGAAAUAUAUAAUCUCCUUUAUCAA
Molecule: ribosomal RNA, 2161 nt
Filed under: bioreactor metagenome
Description: bacterial LSU rRNA
Rfam family: Bacterial large subunit ribosomal RNA (bases 1-1846)
Source: RNAcentral